GAACUGAAAACUAUUCUCUGUUGAUUUAUGUUGAUUGUUUUUACAGUUUAAAUGCAUGAUAGUGCCUUAUUGAUUUAUUUUAUAGCUUUGAAUUCAUUGUUGUUUUACGUGUUUACAGUUGAAUUGAAAAAAUAGAGGUUAAAGGUAAACAGAAAACAUGUGUGAUAAAAUAACUGGAUGAAACGGCAGCCUUACUAGACAUCUUAGGAGAUGGUAGACGGACCGGAUACAUAGGGAACCCUACC
RNAcentral lists this long non-coding RNA (245 nucleotides) under Carica papaya (papaya). RNAcentral describes it as "long non-coding RNA (CPAP_LNC012555)". The record is from RNAcentral. Lineage: Eukaryota; Viridiplantae; Streptophyta; Magnoliopsida; Brassicales; Caricaceae.